Pantherophis guttatus is the source of this 978-nucleotide non-coding RNA. The record is from RefSeq and is a predicted model, not a curated record. NCBI's taxonomy places the organism in Eukaryota, Metazoa, Chordata, Lepidosauria, Squamata, Colubridae.
UAUCUGCUUAUUUCCCAGCCUUUGCAGUCUCUCUCUCUAGCAGAUUCUAAACUGAAAACAGAGAUUACUAUCAUUAUCAAUGCAUUGGGCAGCAAUACAUCCCUUACAAAAAUUGAUAUUAGUGGAAAUGCUAUGGGUGACAUGAGCGCAAAGAUGCUUGCAAAAGCUCUUCAGAUAAACACCAAACUCAGAACUGUUAUAUGGGACAAAAACAACAUCACUGCUCAGGGAUUCCAGGAUAUAGCCGUGGCACUGGAAAAGAAUUAUACCUUAAGAUUCAUGCCUAUACCUGUGAAUGAUGCUUCACAAGCACUUAAAACAAAUCCUGAGAAAACAGAAGAGGCACUUCAAAAGAUAGAAAAUUAUUUGCUUCGAAAUCAUGAGACCAGAAAUAUCUACAAGAGCAAGCGUACAGACUACAGCAGGGCAUAGUUACUAGCACAACACAACAGAUGAUAGACAGAAUAUGUGUCAAAGUACAAGAUCAUCUCAACUCUUUAAGAAAUUGUGGAAUUGACACAAUACAAGAGGAUCUGAAAGCAGCUGAAAGACUUAUGAAGGAUGCUAAGAAUUCCAAAACAUUAUUACCAAACCUGUAUCAUCUUGGUGGAGCUUCAUGGGCAGGAGCAAAUGGUUCAUUAUCCAAUCCAAUUCAGGAGAUCCUAGAAUCUAUGGCUGGGGAAGUUACAAAGGUUGUUGAUGAUCAACUCAAGACAUUACUUGAGUCAAUGGUAGAUGCAGCUGAAAACCUGUGUCCAAGUGCAAUGAAGAAAGCACAUAUAAGGCAAGACUUGAUUGAAGCAUGUACUGAAAAAAUUUCCAUUCCUCGGACCUUUGUUAAAAAUGUUCUCUUGGAGCAGUCUGGAGUGGAUAUCCUUAAUAAAAUUAGUGAAGUAAAGCUGACAGUUGCUUCGUUUCUCUCAGAUCGAAUAGUAGAUGAAAUCCUUGAUGCUCUGUCUCAUUGUCAUCAUAAACUGG